Molecule: non-coding RNA, 315 nt
Organism: Salvelinus sp. IW2-2015
Lineage: Eukaryota; Metazoa; Chordata; Actinopteri; Salmoniformes; Salmonidae
Source: RefSeq, a predicted model, not a curated record
UUGAUGUGUCCCCCCCCAACAGGUCCUCCAGGAGGAGACGUCCAUCCCGGGCAGCGACCUCAACCUGCUGUACCUGUCCUCGCGGGCGGCCGGCUACAAGCCUGUCCUCAAGGUCACCAUGACGCAGRCCAGUGUGCCCUUCAACCUCAUGAAGGUGCACCUGAUGGUGGCGGUGGUGGGGCGUCUGUUCCAGAAGUGGUUCCCUGCCCAGCCCAACCUCUCCUACACCUUCAUCUGGGACAAGACAGACGCUUACAACCAGAAGGUCUACGGCUUGUCUGAGGCAGUCGUGUCAGUGGGUUUUGAGUACGAGUC